Molecule: long non-coding RNA, 623 nt
Filed under: Felis catus (domestic cat)
Lineage: Eukaryota; Metazoa; Chordata; Mammalia; Carnivora; Felidae
Description: lncRNA (ENSFCAG00000041588.2)
Source: RNAcentral
UUCACAGGACAGUGGUGACGAUACUGAGUAGAAGACAAAGUCAUAACAUCACUGUACAUUUGAAUGGAGGGGAUUUAGAAACCAUCCACCCAGUGCAUGAAUUCCUCUCUACAACAUCAGAGGUAAUGACCAUCUGUGUUUACGCCUGUUCUCUAGUGAUGUGAAAUUUACCUUGAGUGAGACUGCCUUCCCAUAAGAAUAUAAAAAGUUUAAAAAUAAUAGUUACCAUUUAUUUCACAUUUACCGUAUACCAGAUGUUGGAGAACGACCUUUACAUACGUACCCUCAUCUAAAUCCAUUUGAAGGAUCGUAAACCAUUUUAAGGAUAAAGUAAUGAAGAAACUUCCAUGGGGACCGAGAGUUACUUAGUUCUAUCUGAAACUAAAUACACUUCUCGUGGUGUCACCAGAAUCGGAUGUGUUUUCAGAUCUCCGGAUGAAGCUGCAUUUUUGACAAAGAAAAUGUUCUUAAUGGACACUAACAGGAGCAAAAUGACAGGCAUAGAAAUGACAACAUGGAAUCCCAAAAUUCUGAAGGUGAGUGGUCCUUUCUUCUGGAGGUGGAUUAAUGCAAAGGUUAGAAAUUAUUUAAAUUUAUCAUUAAAUUUAGUAAAUGUCUGUUAA